RNAcentral lists this ribosomal RNA (681 nucleotides) under uncultured Flavobacterium sp. RNAcentral describes it as "bacterial SSU rRNA". It matches the Rfam family "Bacterial small subunit ribosomal RNA", at positions 58 to 742 of the family's 1533-position model. The record is from RNAcentral. Lineage: Bacteria; Pseudomonadati; Bacteroidota; Flavobacteriia; Flavobacteriales; Flavobacteriaceae.
CAAGUCGAGGGGUAUAGUAGCAAUACUAGAGACCGGCGCACGGGUGCGUAACGCGUAUGCAAUCUACCUUAUACAGAGGGAUAGCCCAGAGAAAUUUGGAUUAAUACCUCAUAGCAUAGCAACUUCGCAUGAAGUCACUAUUAAAGUUCCAACGGUAUAAGAUGAGCAUGCGUCCUAUUAGCUAGAUGGUAAGGUAACGGCUUACCAUGGCUACGAUAGGUAGGGGUCCUGAGAGGGAGAUCCCCCACACUGGUACUGAGACACGGACCAGACUCCUACGGGAGGCAGCAGUGAGGAAUAUUGGACAAUGGGCGCAAGCCUGAUCCAGCCAUGCCGCGUGCAGGAAGACGCAUCUAUGGUGUGUAAACUGCUUUUGUACGGGAAGAAACACUCCCUCGUGAGGGAGCUUGACGGUACCGUAAGAAUAAGGAUCGGCUAACUCCGUGCCAGCAGCCGCGGUAAUACGGAGGAUCCAAGCGUUAUCCGGAAUCAUUGGGUUUAAAGGGUCCGUAGGCGGUUUGGUAAGUCAGUGGUGAAAGCCCAUCGCUUAACGAUGGAACGGCCAUUGAUACUGCCAGACUUGAAUUACUGGGAAGUAACUAGAAUAUGUAGUGUAGCGGUGAAAUGCUUAGAUAUUACAUGGAAUACCAAUUGCGAAGGCAGGUUACUACCGGUGGAUUG